CUCGAAAUUUCCAUCUACAAAACUCUUCAACUUUAAUUCAAUUGAGUGAGAUGCCCAAAACCAAAUGGCUACAGUACCUUACCAUGGCUGUAAGUGUAUGUACAGUAGAUGUACGUUAGAGCUCGCCAACUGGAUUCUGUAGUUCAGUUGGUUAGAGCGCUGUACCGGAAUCGCAGAGCUGCAGGUUCGACUUGCUUUUUAAGAGACACUUAUAUAUAUUGAAGUUUCCAAACGGCUAAACACCGUUUUCAGGGUUCGAAAUUUAUAUUUUCUUUUACCCUAUAAAAGGAAUAGUAGAUGAAAUUUACUGUAAUUGUACUAAUCAAAAGAUUAACAAGCUUUCGUUGGUAAGGAUGCAACUACCUGAAAAAUAUAAGGAAACUUUCUUCUCAUAUUUGUAAUUGCAUGCCUACCAACGCAAGUUCGUUAUUAUUGGCACUACCUACACUGGCAAUUUCUAUCUUUGACAUCUUUGACAAUGCUAUCUUUCACAAUUAUGACGUAAGCCUCCACCCAGCAGACCCUUAUAACUAACAAACAUUUGAAACGUUCCCUGUUGGUGGUCAUUGGUUAAAGGUCUGACAAUAUCCUAUUCAAUCUCGCACCUAGAGAAUAGCUCUGGGUACAAGUUUGCUGAUUCCGUUCAAAAUUCAUAAAUGAUCAGCUUAUCAAAUAGACGACAAUACCGAAUGUCGCUUCUUUCGUCUAGGUUUGGGAUGGCGUCAGUAAUUGUUGCAUUUCAACAUUUCCUAAUGCUCACAAUGGGAACAAGGUAAAAUAACACCGAGCUAAGAAAUGGCACAGUCUUGAUUUGUAUAAGCUGCAUGUAGAGUUCGGUUCUGAUAUAACAUUAAUGUAACACUUACCCAAAAUGGUAAGCGUAUUAUGCAUGUGUAUUAUUCCAGUCAUAUUAGGAAAAAAUGUAAUAUACAGUCAAGGAAAACUAAUUUCCAAUUCAUCGAAUGACAUCAUAUCCUGGCGCUUUGACAGUGAAAAAGUUGAUCAAGAUGAGAUUGUUUUACUUUAAAGAUAUAUUAAUUUCUUCUCAGAAUGGCCCAAAGUCUACACACACCAAAAAUCAUGGGGAUUAGUGGUACUUUAAAUAUUUUAACACUUUCCCUUUGGUCAAAUCUUAGGUUUCCGCAGUUAGAUUCUCAAAGAAUUCAAAGGUACGAUCAUAACAAUUUGUUGACAAAAUUCAGUUUAUCGAUGUUAGCGUUCCAGCUAUCUGUUAUCCCAUUGACCAUUACCUAAUAUAAUAAAUUGAAUGAUCUUUUUUAGUACUUACUUACGAGUGGCAAAGAUUCAUUGAUAUUCCUUUGGGAGCUAUCUACAUGUAUUACUACUAUAAUACAAGACAAAUCCAUCCAUCAAUCAAUCAAUCAAUCAGUCAAUCAUUCAUAAUUAUUCAAUCAAUCAAUCAAUCAAUCAGUCAAUCAUUCAUAAUUCUUUCUUUCUUUCCUUCCUUCCUUCCUUCCUUCCUUUCUUCCUUCCUUCCUUCCUUCCUUCCUUCCUUCCUUCCUUCCUUCCUUCCUUCCUUCCUUUCUUUCUUUCUUUCUUUCUUUCUUUCUUUCUUUCUUUCUUUCUUUCUUUCUUUCUUUCUUUCUUUCUUUCUUUCUUUCUUUCUUUCUUUCUUUCUUUCUUUUGUUCCUUAAGACCAUUACAUAGAAAUCCAGAAACCAGUGUUCCAAUGAUCUCCUGGUCCAGGAAAACGUCAAAGCCACAAAACAGGACGCCUUUGUUUGAUGUUGAACUGUACCUCACCGUGCACAUAUCUCUCUCCUCCGUAGAGGCCUGCAUGAAGUUUCUAGUGAGGGAAAAGUGAGCGCGCAAGGAGUGAUGGAAACGUGAGAAAACUAAGAAAUUAUUAAAAGUAUCAAACAUUCUUUGUAAAGUUCGUCACCUAAACAAAAAACAUCUCAUAACUCUAUAUCACACUCUUGUUUACCCACAUUUAUAUUACGGUAAUAUACUAUGGGCUAGCAACUAUAAAACAAGAUUAAAGUCAGUAUCAACGAUACAGAAAAAGGUUCUGAAAAUAAUAUCAUUUUUGCUUUAUAUACUUUCUCAUCUUCAACCCUUUUUUCAACGCUAGAAAUACUAAAGAUUAAUGAUCCAAAGAUUGAAUCAUUGAAUAUAAACUAUAAUUAACACAAUAAAAAACACACGUUUUGGUUUUGUUGGAGAAGGGGUGUUUUGGGGGGAAGUACUCUGUGUUUACGCCAAACGACAUCCCUCCUCAUCGUCACAUACCUAAUACUGUACUGAACUGAUAAUGCUAGUCAGGAGUAGCGACCCCCUGACGUAUCUGACCAAGAGCACACUUGGACAGUCCCUAACCAGCCCACUUGGGCAGUCCCUAACCUGUCUAAGGUCCACAGAACCGCUUAGAUAGUCCCAAUUAUUUGAAAUAUAUAUUUAUAUGCGACGUUACUAGAGUCUAUGGGAAAGGAAGUUGACAUAUUGGAAUACUUCUUCCCUGGAACCCAAUGUUUAUUUAUUUAUUUAUUUAUUACCAGUAAAGGAACCAUAACAAUUUUUAUUAUUUACCAUAUUGUAAAACUUGUGUCCAUAGGCACUUUUACACCUCUGAUAGUCUUUCACUUUGGAAAGCUUUUAUUACCAGCGAAGACCAGCCAUA
Paramuricea clavata is the source of this 2641-nucleotide non-coding RNA. The record is from the annotation of a GenBank genome assembly. Lineage: Eukaryota; Metazoa; Cnidaria; Anthozoa; Malacalcyonacea; Plexauridae.